RNAcentral lists this ribosomal RNA (101 nucleotides) under uncultured bacterium. RNAcentral describes it as "partial 16S ribosomal RNA". It matches the Rfam family "Bacterial small subunit ribosomal RNA", at positions 1384 to 1482 of the family's 1533-position model. The record is from RNAcentral.
CACACACCGCCCGUCACAUCCUGAAAGCCGGUCGAACCCGAAGUGGCUGUAGCAACCCGCAAGGGAGCGAAGUCCCUAAGGUGCGGUUGGUGAUUGGGAUG